UUUUCCUUCUCUUUUUUGCCUCUCUUUUUUCGCAAACCCUAUUCCCCUUUUCACUCAAUGAUAAUUUCUCCCAAUCAAAGCUGCAGACUCAACUUUUCUGAUUACUUGCAACUAUGGUUUUGCAAAUUUCAAUACAAACCCUAUCUCUCUUUAGUUUCCUUCAUAAAGUUAAACCAACUUCUCCUUCAUUUCUGUCAACUCUUUCUGUCUCUCUCUUAUCUUCUCUCUCUCGAAAGUCUUUUUUUCUUUUCAUAGCAAAACUUUCAUUUCUUCCUUUCUCCUCCUCCCUCAUGGCAAGACCGUUCGAGCACGUUGCCGACAUCAACGACGAAAGUAUGGAAUCCAAAUUCGAGCGGGUCAACAAUUUAGUUACUUCAAAUAAUUGGACUGAGAAGGUGAUGAGGGAGUAGAUGCUGCCGAUGAAAAAGUAGAAGCGGGAAGUUUGAAACUUUCCAUAUCUGUGGAACUGCAAGCAAAACCUUUAUCUUGAGAAUCUAUUACAGCUAAGUAUGUUACUGUUAUGAGAGGUGGUUCAUUUUCACUUUGUGAGGAUCAAGAGUCUUCUGGGAGUAAUAGCUUCAGUUUGAAUAGUGGCCAACAACAACAACAACACUGGAACAAUUGUUCUUAUGGUGAUUCGCCCGAUUGUUGGAGUCCGAGAUUGAGUUCUAAAGAGGAGAGUUUGAUGAAAAGAAGAGAGUGUGAUCAUCAGCAUAGCGGUGGUAUUGGACAUGGAAGACUUGCUACUACAUCUUCUGGCAUUAAAGUAUCAAUCGGCAGCAAUGAAUAUUUACUAAAACCUGCACUAACAGAAGCAACUUUGCUGUUAAUACUAAAGAAUUUUUUUGAGGUCAUUCUGCAUCUCCCUGUAGUGAAUAGGUGGUUCUUGGAGGUGGUGAGGAUGUAUCAGUUGUUACAACUACUAAUCAAAGUGCUGGCAGCUACCUUAUAGGCUGUGACAACGAACUUGCGAAAUUACAUACUAGCCAUCCCGAGGCUUGCGACAAAGAUGGUGGCGUGAUCAAUAUGCAUAUAGACGAUCUCUGAAAAUUUGCGAUGCUAUGGCUGCAUAAAACUGAGGAGGUUUGAGCUGAUAGAGCUCAUUAUGCAAGAAAUAUAACACGAGACAUAUAUGAGACCGGGUGGAUCAGUGAGAUGUAUGGUUACUCAUUUGGUGCGGCAGAGUUGAAACUAAAGCACACUAUAAGCAAUGAGAUAUUGAUAUACCCGGGAUAUGUUCCUGCGCUGAACGUCAAAUAUCGAGUUUGUCAUUAUGGAUUGUAAUUCAGUUAGUUGUCCACAUGGUCUAUUGAUGCCUGAGCAAGCUCCUGGUGCUAAACGGGUCCUUGUUCCUGAGACUUUUUGGCUCUUCUUAUGUGAAGAUUCUAUUUCUGUAAAACAUGAUGAUGCUUUAGGUGGCCUGAUUCUUCCUUCAGGUUCUACAGAGUGUUCCCAAUGCAUUAAUGAAUUAUCUGAAGCACCAUGCUUGGAGGAUUCUUUGAGGUUAUUUCAUUUGUAAUUGCCAUUACAAAUAGUGACAAAUAAUUACCUGAAAUGAUGUUGUGUGCUGAAAGAAUGCUCAUGUUACGAAACUCUUAACUCGGCCUAACCAUAGUCAGUUUUAUAUUUUUGAGAAAUAAUAGUAGUUAUAGUUAUAAUGCAUAUAUAAUACUCUUG
This is an RNA transcript of Vicia villosa (hairy vetch), 1677 nucleotides long. RefSeq lists it as uncharacterized. Lineage: Eukaryota; Viridiplantae; Streptophyta; Magnoliopsida; Fabales; Fabaceae. The record is from RefSeq and is a predicted model, not a curated record. The transcript has 6 exons.